RNAcentral lists this ribosomal RNA (468 nucleotides) under uncultured bacterium. RNAcentral's name for it is "partial 16S ribosomal RNA". It matches the Rfam family "Bacterial small subunit ribosomal RNA", at positions 28 to 507 of the family's 1533-position model. The record is from RNAcentral.
GACGAACACUGGCGGCGUGCUUAACACAUGCAAGUCGAACGGUAAGGCCCUGCUUUUGUGGGGUGCUCGAGUGGCGAACGGGUGAGUAACACGUGAGUAACCUGCCCUUGACUUUGGGAUAACUUCAGGAAACGGGGGCUAAUACCGGAUAGGAGCUCCUGCUGCAGGGUGGGGGUUGGACAGUUUCGGCGGUUGGGGAUGGACUCGGGGCUUAUCAGCUUGUUGGUGGGGUAGUGGCUUACCAAGGCUUUGACGGGUAGCCGGCCUGAGAGGGUGACCGGCCACAUUGGGACUGCGAUACGACCCAGAAUCCUACAGGAGGCAGCAGUGGGGAAUAUUGCACAGUGGGCGGGAGCCUGAUGCAGCAGCGCCGCGUGCGGGAUGACGGCCUUCGGGUUGUGAACCGCUUUCGCCUGUGACGAAGCGUGAGUGACGGUAAUGGGUAAAGAAGCACCGGCUAACUACGUG